CCUACGGGAGGCAGCAGUAGGGAAUCUUCCACAAUGGACGAAAGUCUGAUGGAGCAACGCCGCGUGAGUGAAGAAGGGUUUCGGCUCGUAAAGCUCUGUUGGUAGUGAAGAAAGAUAGAGGUAGUAACUGGCCUUUAUUUGACGGUAAUUACUUAGAAAGUCACGGCUAACUACGUCCCAGCAGCCGCGGUAAUACGUAGGUGGCAAGCGUUGACCGGAUUUAUUGGGUGUAAAGCGAGUGCAGGCGGUUCAAUAAGUCUGAUGUGAAAGCCUUCGGCUCAACCGGAGAAUUGCAUCAGAAACUGUUGGACUUGAGUGCAGAAGAGGAGAGUGGAACGCCAUGUGUAGCGGUGGAAUGCGUAGAUAUAUGGAAGAACACCAGUGGCGAAGGCGGCUCUCUGGUCUGCAACUGACGCUGAGGCUCGAAAGCAUGGGUAGCGAACAGGAUUAGAUACCCUUGUAGUC
RNAcentral lists this ribosomal RNA (465 nucleotides) under uncultured bacterium. RNAcentral describes it as "partial 16S ribosomal RNA". It matches the Rfam family "Bacterial small subunit ribosomal RNA", at positions 338 to 795 of the family's 1533-position model. The record is from RNAcentral.